GAGUUUGAUCAUGGCUCAGGACAAACGCUGGCGGCGUGCGUAACACAUGCAAGUCGAACGAACGUCGAGAGACGUGAGUGGCGGACGGGUGAGGAACACGUGGGUAUCAACCGUUUUCUGGGGAAUAACAGGGCGAAAGUCUUGCUAAUACCGCAUACGCCCGAGAGGGGAAAGCCGAAAGGCGGGGAACGACGAGCCUGCGGUCGAUUAGCUGGUUGGUGGGGUAAUGGCUCACCAAGGCGAUGAUCGAUAGCUGGUCUGAGAGGAUGAUCAGCCACACUGGGAUUGAGAACGGCCCAGACUCCUACGGGGGGCAGCAGUGAGGAAUCUUCGACAAUGGGGGCAACCCUGAUCGAGCAACGCCGCGUGUGGGAUGACGCAUUUCGGUGUGUAAACCACUUUUCUCGGGGACGAGAAUGGACGGUACCCGAGGAAUCAGCAUCGGCUAACUACGUGCCAGCAGCCGCGGUAAUACGUAGGAUGCAAGCGUUGUCCGGAGUUACUGGGCGUAAAGCGUGGGCAGGCGGUCGCUUGCGUCGCGGAUGAAAUCUCCCGGCUCAACUGGGAGGGGGUUCGCGAUACGGGGCGACUUGAGGGCAUGAGAGGGAAGUAGAACUCCGGGUGGAACAGUGAAAUGUGUAGAGAUCCGGAAGAAUACCAGAGGUGAANACGGCUUCCUGGCGUGUACCUGACGCUCAGCCACGAAAGCUUGGGGAGCAAACAGGAUUAGAUACCCUGGUAGUCCAAGCGGUAAACGAUGUCCACUAGGUGUGCGGGGUAUCGACCCCCUGCGUGCCGGAGCUAACGCACGAAGUGGACCGCCUGGGGAGUACGGCCGCAAGGUUAAAACUCAAAGGAAUUGACGGGGACCCGCACAAGCAGCGGAGCGUGUGGUUUAAUUCGAUGCGACGCGAAGAACCUUACCUGGAUUCAAUCCUAUCUGCACCAGCCGUUAUGGGCUGUCCCCGCAAGGGGCGGGUAGGACGGUGCUGCAUGGCUGUCGUCAGCUCGUGCCGUGAGGUGUUGGGUUAAGUCCCCUAACGAGCGCAACCCCCGGUGCCGGUUAGAUAUCCGGCGCAACUGCCCAGCAAAACUGGGAGGAAGGCGGGGAUGACGUCAAGUCAGCACGGCCCUUACGUCCAGGGCGACACACACGCUACAAUGGUCAGGACAAUCGGUUGCUACUCGGCGACGAGACGCUAAUCCGCCAAACCUGGCCUCAGUUCGGAUUGGAGGCUGCAACCCGCCUCCAUGAAGUCGGAGUUGCUAGUAACCGCAGGUCAGCACACUGCGGUGAAUACGUUCCCGGGUCUUGUACACACCGCCCGUCACACCACGAAAGUGGGCAACACCUGAAGCCGGGUAGCGAACCCUUCGGGGGCGCGCCUGUCGAGGGUGGGGUUCAUGAUUGGGG
Molecule: ribosomal RNA, 1414 nt
Filed under: uncultured Ktedonobacterales bacterium
Lineage: Bacteria; Bacillati; Chloroflexota; Ktedonobacteria; Ktedonobacterales
Description: bacterial SSU rRNA
Rfam family: Bacterial small subunit ribosomal RNA
Source: RNAcentral